This 419-nucleotide long non-coding RNA is filed under the name Fukomys damarensis (Damara mole-rat). RNAcentral describes it as "lncRNA (ENSFDAG00000024991.1)". The record is from RNAcentral. Lineage: Eukaryota; Metazoa; Chordata; Mammalia; Rodentia; Bathyergidae.
CUUCACUUUCUCACUGGCAGAUGUAUCUUACCUAUUCUUUUUUGUUGACUUCAGCUUUCAAGUCCCAAUAUGGUCAUCUGCUACUUCUUCUUUGAUAAAGCGUUUAUUAUAAUGAGACCAUGAGCAACUUACUGAUUCUCUUAAGUUGGUUUCCUCUUCCUAUGUUGGGACAACUGAAUGAGAUAAAUUCCAGGACCUGGCAGAUGUUGACUAUCAAGAAGGAUGAAGAAACUAGAAACUCAGAACUGAACACGACCAGCCUCAUUGACUGUGGAAGAAGCAGGAUGUGCCUUUGUCUGCUUCUCACAGAAGCCCCUCCUUCCUGCUGGCUUUGUAAGGAUCAACAAGAGGAACAAGUAGAAGACAGAGGACCUCCCUUCAUCUGUACUGCUGACAUAGAAAUGAAAGAGCCUUUGUGA